Molecule: ribosomal RNA, 851 nt
Filed under: uncultured Sebacinales
Lineage: Eukaryota; Fungi; Basidiomycota; Agaricomycetes; Sebacinales
Description: eukaryotic LSU rRNA
Rfam family: Eukaryotic large subunit ribosomal RNA (bases 198-851)
Source: RNAcentral
CCUUUGCUGGCUGGUGGAGGUGGACCUGGACUCUGCUGUGUCAUCCAUGGCUGGUCUGAAAUGCAUGAGUGUACCCUGCUGUUGCAGCGUCUUCAGUGUGAUAAGUAUCCUCACUGAACAAAGUUCCCUCAGGACACGCACGCACAGUGGGCCCUGCGCUUUCCAACCGUCUGCCUGCCAGACAACCUUUGACAACUUGACCUCAAAUCGGGUGGGAUUACCCGCUGAACUUAAGCAUAUCAAUAAGCGGAGGAAAAGAAACUAACAAGGAUUCCCCUAGUAACGGCGAGUGAAGAGGGAAAAGCUCAAAUUUUGAAUCUGGCAUCUUUGGUGCCCGAGUUGUAAUCUAGAGAAGUGUUUUCUGCCUCGGACCACACAUAAAUUCCCUGGAAUGGGGUGUCAUAGAGGGUGAGAAUCCCGUUUGUGGUGUGGACUACCUUGGCUCUGUGAUACACUCUCAACGAGUCGAGUUGUUUGGGAAUGCAGCUCAAAAUGGGUGGUAAAUUCCAUCUAAAGCUAAAUAUUGGCGAGAGACCGAUAGCGAACAAGUACCGUGAGGGAAAGAUGAAAAGCACUUUGGAAAGAGAGUGAAACAGUACGUGAAAUUGUUGAAAGGGAAGCGUUUGAAGUCAGUCGCAUCUGUCGGGGCUCAGCCUGGCUUUGCCUGGUGUACUUCCUGGCAGAUGGGUCAGUGUCAGUUUUGACCGGGAGAGAAAGGCUUGGGGAAUGUGGCUGUCUUCGGGCAGUGUUAUAGCCCUUUGUCGUAUGUCUCGGUUGGGACUGAGGUCAGCAGCACGCCUUAUGGCCGGGGUUCGCCCUCGGUACGUGCUUAGGACGCUGGCAUAAUGGCU